This 6959-nucleotide long non-coding RNA is filed under the name Olea europaea subsp. europaea. Lineage: Eukaryota; Viridiplantae; Streptophyta; Magnoliopsida; Lamiales; Oleaceae. The record is from RNAcentral.
AACCAUUUUAACCUUCUCAAACAGGUUAUUAUUAUUAUUAUUAUUAUUAUUAUUAUUAUUAUUAUUAUUAUUAUAUAUACACGAGAAAAAGCAGAGGGAGGAUAGCUUUAAAAUAUAGAAACAAUACAAAUUUCAAGCAAAAAACUUUAUCCCUUGUCCCCUCUCUAUCUUAAAAGAGGGAAUCCCAAAUCACCGUUCAUUUCUGAUUUUUCCUCACAUUUUACUAAUUCAUGUGGAAAAAAACAAUCCCCUCUAUUACACUACCUAUUUGGGCUUUACAUGGCACUGAUUUAUGGAAAAAUUCAAACGACCCGUGCCGUUGACACUCUGAGUGACCGCAGUCUUACAUGGCCGACGUGGAUCCCCAUGAAUAAAAUAAUCCCGACCCCAUGUGUGUGUGUGUUAUGUCAACCAUGCGAUCAUCCGUACGGGCUAUGUAGCUCGAUCCCCGAUUUAUCCUUCACUUAGAAGUGGCAAUUCAUAAUUACAGUCCAUUUUUGUUCAGGAGUAUUCACACUUGACUGGUUUCUAAUUGGUUCUACACUGUAGCCUGUAGCAAAAUUGGUUCUCUGCUGUUCAAUUCAAAUGAACUUUAAUGUUCUCUACUGUUCAUCCACAAAAGCAAAUUAGCGUAGUCGCUUUACAAUUCACUGUCCAUUUACAGUAGCUACUCAAAAUAUCUCUUUCCUAUCAAGUGCAUUUUGCUUUCUCCCACUUCUUACUUCCUGCUCUGCUAUUGGAAGAUGUUCAUUUUUGGAGUUGCUGUUUCUACUUUUGGGGACGAUGACGAAGACUCUAGGUAUCUCUCAUUCAUCUGUGGCGCUACUUCUUUUGCCGCUGCAUCAGCUGCUCCGUCCGUCGCUAAUCUGAGGUGAGAAUAGUUUUUGUUUAAAUUUCAUGAUUUUCUCAUUCAUCUGUGGCGCUACUUCUUUUGCCGCCGCAUCAGCUGCUCCGUUCGUCACUAAUCUGAGGUAAGAAUAGUUUUUGUUUAAAUUUCAUGAUUUUUUACUCCUUUCAAUCAAUUUCCAGGGAUUUUGGUGUUGUUUGUUGAGAAAAAUGUAGAAAAAUCUGAAAACUUAAUGAACUUCUAGGCACGAAAAACGUUAUCUUUUAAAAGAUGUUUUUCCCCUAUCCAACAAAGUCACAACUGGGGUAUGAUAGAAAAUCUCUCUCAGAAUACAAUGAAGGCGUUUGAUUCAAAUUGUAACUAUUUGAUCAAACCAAGAAGACACUUGAAAAGAACUGAUGAUGCCAAGAGAAAGAGAGAAGAAUAAUUUUUUAAUGUGUUUUGCAAACGAAAAUUCGCCCAGGUCGAUCCCCGUUGCGCAGUGGUAAAAACUAGUCGGGGCGGCAAAUCAUUCGCAAAACAAAAAAUAAAUACAUGCAAAAUGAUGAAAAAUAUCUAACAUAUCCCCCCUAUUUUUCAAAAUUUUGAUUUAGAAAAGAUGAAGCGACUGCAUCACAAAAAUUGAUUGCCUACGUACCCUUAACAGGUUCAAGCCACCGUAAUUCAUGCAAACACACACAAAAGGCAUCGUCGUAGGAAAUCGUACAUAAAUGAAAGUAGCUUUUGACUUUGAACUUUCACUUAGUGUAAACAACUCAAAGUUUUGUCAAGGUGCUAUGGUGAACGAAUCUUGAACCAAGGACCCUAUCAUGACUAGCCGGAGUCAUUACACAUACUAUUCCUAUAAAAAGGAGUGUUUAUUUUAUACCAACGCAUUAAUGGCUUUGCGUAUAUCCCGAAUUUCAUGAGUGCUUUAGAGGCGGUCUAAAUCUCAUAGAAAACGGCCUGACUUUCUCACUCACAUAGGUAAGUUCUUUAUAAAGUAAUUCUGCUAGUUACUUUCUCUCUCAAAAGAACUUAUUAAGAAAUUAAAUCCAUCCUCAACCAUGCAGAAUACAUACACUAGAGAUUUUAUGAAUGGGUUUGAACUAAUACUCUAGUGUCUCGUCUAAGUUAGAUUUUAACUUGUUUGUACCCUUUGAACUUUGUUUAUAUUUCAAAACAUAAGUAGGGUUCCCAUUAAAGCUAACUCAAGUUACGUAGACCUCAAUCCCAUUCCUUUCGAUGUUUUCGCAAUCAUCUCUCUAGCCAAUCCUUUUGUCAAAUGAUCUGUUAGGUUAUUCUUCGACUCUACAUAUUCAACGGUGAUUACUCCUUGCUUAAGUAAUCCUGGAAGAGACUGAUGUCUAAUACUGAGAUGUCGUUGCUUAUCAUUGUAAGUCUUGUUUGCUACCAAAUACAAAAUAGCUUUACUAUCACAAUAGAUCAUCACAGCUGGAGAUGAUUUCUUCCGCAAUGGGAUAUCUAUUAGCAAAUUUCUUAGCCAUUCAACUUCUUUACUUGCAUCAGCUAAAGCAAUAAAUUCUGCCAACAUAGUUGAAUCUGAGACGCAUGUUUGUUUCUCAGAACACCAAGAAACAGUUGCACCUCCUAAAGUAAAAAUCCAACCUGUUGUGGAUUUAAAAUUGGAUUCUAUGUUGUUCCAACUUGCAUCGCUGUAUCCUUCAAGUACAGCGGGAAAUCCACGAUAAUGUAAUCUAUAAUCAAUAGUUCCUUUCAAGUAUCUUAAGAUUCUUGAAACCGCAUUCCAAUGUUCUUUUCCUGGAUUACUAGUGAAUCGACACAAUAUGCCAACUGCAUAUGCAAUAUCUGGUCUUGUGCAAUGCAUAGCAUACAUAAGACUUCCAAUCACACUUGCAUAUUGUAGUUGGUCAUAAGAUCUACCUGUAUUUUUCAUUAACUUAAUACUAGGAUUUAUCGAAGUUGAUGCGGGUUUAUGACCUAUAUGACCAUAUAUUUUAAGGAUAUUUUCAAUAUAAUGAGAUUGAUUCAGCAAUAUGCAUCCAUCUUUUCUUAUUAUUUUAAUCCCUAAGAUCACAUUUGCUUCGCCUAAAUCCUUCAUGUCGAAGUUAGGCUCUAACAAUUGUUUGGUCUCCUUAACACUUUCUAAGUUAGGAUAAAAAAUAAGCAUGUCAUCUACAUACAAGCAAAUAAGAGUACAUGCACCAUUUCUACAUGUAGAAUAGAUACAUUUAUCUGCUUCAUUAACCUUGAAACCGUUAGACAACAUUACUUUAUUAAACUUUUCAUGCCAUUGCAUAGGGGCUUGUUUUAAACCAUAAAGAGACUUGACUAGUUUACAAACCUUCUUUUCUUGUACAGGUAAAACAAAACCCUCGGGUUGCUCCAUAUAGACUUCUUCCUCCAAAUCACCAUUUAGAAAAGUCUUUUUUACAUCUAUUUGAUGGACAACUAAAUUGUGAGUUGAAGCAAGAGAUAGCAACACGCGGAUGGAAGAUAUCCUUGCUACGGGAGCAUAAGUAUCAAAAUAAUCUAUGCCAUGACGUUGUUUAAAACCUUUAGCUACUAAUCGAGCUUUAUACUUAUUUAUAGAGCCAUCUGCAUUUAAUUUCCUCUUGAAAAUUCAUUUACAAUGUAUUAGUUUAGAACCACGAGGUAAAUCAACCAGUUUCCAUGUUUGAUUUGACAUAAUGGAUCUCAUUUCAUCAUUGAUUGCUUCUUUCCAAAGUACAGCAUCUCGAGAGGAAAUAGCUUCUGAAUAUGUGACAGGAUCAUUAUCAUCAUUGAGCAUUAGCUUAGUCUGAUGUGUAAUAUUAUUUACAUUACCUUUUAGCAAAUAAGUCACAAAUUCAGAUCCGAAAGAUUUUUCUUUCCUUUGUCUCUUACUUCUUCUAGGUUCUAUUUCCGAUUGUGGUUCAACAGAAGUAUCAUCAAGAGAUUCUUCAUGAACUCUCUUAGAAGAACUAGAAGUAGUAUUAUCUUCAGUUUGUAUAGUUGAAGACUUGUAUAUAUUUUCAAAAAAUUCAGCAUCAAUUGAUUCGAUAACAUCAUUGGAUUCUAACUUCAGAAACCUAUAAGCAGUACUGUUUUUGCAUAACCUAUGAAUACACAUUUAUAAGUUUUACUUCCUAAUUUAGUGAUCUCUGGAUUUGGUUUUCUCACAUAGGCGAGACAUCCCCACACCUUGAGACGACUAAUAUUAGGUUUCCAGUUGAACCACAACUCAUAUGGAGUUUUGUUAAUCUUCUUCAUAGGAAUCCUAUUUAGAGUAUAACAUGCACUUAAGAUUGCUUCACCCCACCAUUGAUCAGGUAAACCAGAACUAAUAAGCAUGCAAUUCACCAUUUCAACUAAAGUCCUGUUUUUCCUUUCUGCUACUCCGUUUGAUUCUGGCGAAUAUGGUGGAGUAAACUCGUGAACUAUACCAUUAGUUUCACAGAAUUUUGCUAAUUCUACUACUUGAUAUCACCCCCUCUAUCAGAACGUAAGACUUUAAUUUUUUGGUUUAAUUGAUUUUCCACUACUACUUUAUAAAUAAGAAAUUUGCUUAAAACUUCAUCUUUACUUUUUAGUAAGUAUACAUAAGCAUAUUUCAAAAAAUCAUCUAUAAAGGUCACAAAGUACUUGUUCCCUCCACGUGAAACUUUACUAUGCAGAUCAGCCACAUCAGAAUGUAUAAGACCAAGUAAUUCAGAUGUUUGCAUAACAGAUUUAUGUGGUUUACACGUUAUUUUAUCAUUAUUUUACCUUGAACACAUAUGUCACAUUUUUUAAUAUCAUCAAACUUACAUUUAGGAAUAAUUCCUAAAUUAUGCAUGUUCUUAAUGGAUUUAUAAUUUAUGUGGCCUAAUUUAGCAUGUCAUAAAGGUAAAGAAUCAACAAUAUAAGCAAAGUUAUCAUUUAUUAAAUUCAUUUUGAACAUACCAUUACAUGAGUAACCUUUUCCAACAAAUACAUUAUUCUUAGAUACUAUAAGGCUAUCAGACUCAAUUACAAGCUUAAAACCUGCCUUGUUAAGGCGAUCCCCAGAAAUCAGGUUCUUGGUCAUUUCAGGCACAUGGAGAACUUCUGCCAAAGUCAGAUUCUUUCCUGAAGUGAAUUUCAGUUCAACUGAUCCAAUUCCAACAACUUUGGUACGAACAUUGUUACCUAUUUUUACUUCUCUUCCAUCAGUGCAUUCUUUGUAAGUCUUGAACUGAGAUUUGUCAUUACUUACAUGAAUUGUAGCUCCGGUAUCCAACCACCAUCCUACUUCAAAUCCGACUGAGUUGGCUUCUUCCACCACAGCAAGAAGGUUUGGAUCAUGAUUUUCAUCAGUCACAUUUACUUGAUCCUUCUUUGUCUUUUCGUUCUUUGGCUUCUCGUAUUUUAUUCGAUGUCGGCAUUCACGAGCAAUAUGACCAGAUUUCUUGCAGUAGAAACAAUCCCCCUUGAAUUUUUUCUUAGAGGUUUCUGCAUAAUCUUCCUUAGAACUGGAGUUUUUACGCUUCUUGUUACCCUUAUGAUUUCCUUGAACCAUGUUUGCCUUUUCUGCCGCUUGAUCAUAAUUCUCUCAUUUAUGAGAGUCUUCCUCAAUACGCAAAUGACGCAUGAGGGAUUCCAGAGUAUGCUUGGUUUCAUCAUGUUUGAGUUUCUUUUUAUAGUCAUUCCAUGAACUUGGUAAUUUUGCAAUAAUGACUCCAACUUGAAAUGCAUCAGGCAAGACAAUUUCAGCAUUCUUAAGAUUACUAAUAGUAAGUUGUAAUUCAUGUACCUGGGCAAGAAUAGACUUAUUUUUCGUCAUCUUGAAAUCAAAAUAAUUACCGAUCAAGAAUUUCUGGUUGCUUGCCUCUUCAAUACGAUACUUGUUGUCCAAUGCCAAUCACAAUUUUCUUGCUGUUCCGAUAGUCCUGUGUGCGCUGUAAACAGAAUCUGAUAGUGCAUUCAGAAUAUGGCCUCUGCACAGAAAAUCAUCAUCCUUCCGUUUCUUCCGCUGUUCCUGUAAUUCCUUCUUGCGUUCAUCUGAAUCAUCUGCUUUUUCUUCUGGAAUAUGCGCAGACCAUUACUCAGAAUGUAGGACAGUUUGAUAGCUGUCAAGAAGAAUAAAACCUUUUCCUGCCAACGCGUGAAGUUAUGUCCAUCAAAUCGAUCAAGACGAAUCAAAUCUUGAUUCAUGACUUAAAUUGAGGGUGCCACAGAUUCAUUUAAUGUCAGAUCUUGAAACGAAGACAUCUCUUAAAACUGUUGAGAAAAAUGUAGGGAAAUUUGAAAACUUAAUGAAUUCCAAGGCACGAAAAACGUUAUCUUUUAAGAGAUGUUUCUCCCCUAUCCAACAAAGUCACAACUGGGAUAUGAUAGAAGAUCUCUUUCAAGAUACAAUGGAGGCGUUUGAUUCAAAUUGUGACUAUUUGAUCAAAUCAAGAAGACACUCGAAAAGAACUGAUGAUGCUAAGAGAAAGAGAGGAGAAUAAUUUUUUAAUGUGUUUUGUAAACGAGAAUUCGUCCAGGUCGAUCCCCGUUGCGCAGCGGCAAACACUAGUCGGGGCGGCAAAUCAUUCGCAAAACAAAAAGUAAAUACAUGAAAAAUGAUGAAAAAUAUCUAACAUUGUUGACUGUCGUUGUGAUUCGUCCAACGCUGGGUUUCCAUUGUUCAUUUGUGGUGCUACUUCUUUUGCCGAUAAAACCAUUAUUAAGCGAAAGAUUGAGCAUGGUUUUACUAUCACAGAGUGACAAACGAAGAUGAGAACUAGUUUUAGAAUCUCAUAACUCUGCGAUCAAAUUUCUGUAACUUAAGUAUCUUUGGCAUGAAUUUUUCGUACAAUUCCCAAUUUCUGAUAUGUUUAUUGUUGCUUCUUCAUGGUUCUUGAGGUAAGAAAUUGCACUUUGUUCUUCUUCAGGUAAGAAAUUGUACUUUGAUGAGUAUCACUAAUUACAUUAUGUUGCCGAAUGAGGCAAGAAAGAUUGAAGAAAAGUCAGAAGGUGUUUAUGAGGUUUUAGCAUUGGUAGACGAGCAGAAACUUGAAGAGAAAAGAAAUGAUGAAAAAGAGAAAUUCUUGUAGCUUUCAAAAAUAUUUGAGGAACAGGUUUUUGGCCUGAGGUUUAGUGUUUAUUUUCGUUUCAUACUUAAAAAGGAAAUAAAGUUAUCCUUUGACUAUUUGAUGUAAUAUAUGAC